AGAACGAACGCUGGCGGCAGGCUUAACACAUGCAAGUCGAACGCUCGUAGCAAUACGGGAGUGGCAGACGGGUGAGUAACGCGUGGGAACAUACCCUCCGGUUCGGAAUAGCUCAGGGAAACUUGGAUUAAUACCGGAUACGGCUGAGAGGCGAAAGAUUUAUCGCCGGAGGAUUGGCCCGCGUUCGAUUAGCUUGUUGGUGAGGUAACGGCUCACCAAGGCGAUGAUCGAUAGCUGGUCUGAGAGGAUGAUCAGCCACAUUGGGACUGAGACACGGCCCAAACUCCUACGGGAGGCAGCAGUGGGGAAUAUUGGACAAUGGGCGCAAGCCUGAUCCAGCCAUGCCGCGUGAGUGAUGGCGGCCUUAGGGUUGUAAAGCUCUUUCGCUCGGGACGAUAAUGACGGUACCGAGAUAAGAAGCCCCGGCUAACUUCGUGCCAGCAGCCGC
This 448-nucleotide ribosomal RNA is filed under the name uncultured bacterium. RNAcentral's name for it is "SSU rRNA". It matches the Rfam family "Bacterial small subunit ribosomal RNA", at positions 26 to 518 of the family's 1533-position model. The record is from RNAcentral.